AUGAACGCUAGCGGCAGGCCUAAUACAUGCAAGUCGAACGGUAUAAGUUGUAGCAAUAUGACUUAGAGAGUGACGUAAGGGUGCGUAACACGUAUGCAAUCUACCCUCAACAGGAGUAUAGCUCGGGGAAACUCGGAUUAACACUCCAUAAUAUCAUUGGGAGGCAUCUUCUGAUGAUUAAAACUUUGGUGGUUGAGGAUGAGCAUGCGUCUGAUUAGUUAGUUGGUGAGGUAACGGCUCACCAAGACGAUGAUCAGUAGGGGAACUGAGAGGUUGAUCCCCCACACUGGCACUGAGAUACGGGCCAGACUCCUACGGGAGGCAGCAGUAGGGAAUAUUGGUCAAUGGGUGAGAGCCUGAACCAGCCAUGCCGCGUGCAGGAGGACGGCCUUCUGGGUUGUAAACUGCUUUUAUCUGGGGAUAAAAAGGCCUUGCGAGGCACAUUGAAGGUACCAGAUGAAUAAGCACCGGCUAACUACGUG
RNAcentral lists this ribosomal RNA (482 nucleotides) under uncultured bacterium. RNAcentral describes it as "bacterial SSU rRNA". It matches the Rfam family "Bacterial small subunit ribosomal RNA", at positions 29 to 507 of the family's 1533-position model. The record is from RNAcentral.